CUCGCCUACAUGAAGUCGGAAUUGCUAGUAAUCNCGGAUCAGCAUGCCGCGGUGAAUACGUUCCCGGGCCUUGUACACACCGCCCGUCACACCAUGAGAGCCGGUAACACCCGAAGUCAGUAGCCUAACCGCAAGGGGGCGCUGCCGAAGGUGGGAUUGGUAAUUGGGUGAAGUCGUAACAAGGUAUC
RNAcentral lists this ribosomal RNA (188 nucleotides) under uncultured bacterium. Its description in RNAcentral is "partial 16S ribosomal RNA". It matches the Rfam family "Bacterial small subunit ribosomal RNA", at positions 1311 to 1500 of the family's 1533-position model. The record is from RNAcentral.